CACGCUCAUUCAGAAGCAGCGGGGUUUGAUAGAGGAGCAGACAUCAAAGACAGGAGUGCUGCUGUGUGCCUGGACACGAGAGGAUGGAGAAGGUCUUCCAUCACUACCACCUUGCACCUUUCUGCCAUUCUACCCCACAUUACCAGCAACCCACCUGGUUUGACUCCUCACUCUGGUCAGACUUUACAGCUGCGGAAGGGCCUCCCAGUCCUAAAAAAGCAAGACCUGUCUCAGCACAGUCUCUUCAGCAUAUCAUUUAAAUAAGUGUCACAGGAAAGGUUACGCAAUGCCAGAUCACCCUGAAAAACAUCAGGCUUUCGACAUUCUUGUUGGACAUUGAAGAGACGAUGAUGAUGGGUGUGUAGGCAGUCAAAAGAAAGUCUGCACAGUGAUUGGCCUGGAACUGCAUUACAUAGUUUCAGUGGAUCAGCGGAACAACCGUUCUCAGUGGAUCAGCGGAACAACCGUUCUCAGUGGAUCACCGUAACAACCGUUCUCAGUGGAUCAGCGGAACAACCGUUCUCAGUGGAUCAGCGGAAGAACCGUUCUCAGUGGAUCAGCGGAAGAACCGUUCUCAGUGGAUCAGCGGAACAACCGUUCUCAGUGGAUCAGCGGAACAACCGUUCUCACUGGAUCAGCGGAACAACCGUUCUCAGUGGAUCAGCGUAACAACCGUUCUCAGUGGAUCAGCGGAACAACCGUUCUCAGUGGAUCAGCGGAAGAACCGUUCUCAGUGGAUCAGUGGAAGAACCGUUCUCAGUGGAUCAGCGGAAGAACCCUUCCGUAGUUGAGUACCAAC
Molecule: long non-coding RNA, 799 nt
Organism: Esox lucius (northern pike)
Lineage: Eukaryota; Metazoa; Chordata; Actinopteri; Esociformes; Esocidae
Exons: 3
Source: RefSeq, a predicted model, not a curated record